This is a transfer RNA of Ovis aries (sheep), 72 nucleotides long. It matches the Rfam family "tRNA". From Rfam's summary of the family: Transfer RNA (tRNA) molecules are approximately 80 nucleotides in length. Their secondary structure includes four short double-helical elements and three loops (D, anti-codon, and T loops). Lineage: Eukaryota; Metazoa; Chordata; Mammalia; Artiodactyla; Bovidae. The record is from Rfam.
GGUUCCAUAGUGUAAUUGUGAGCACUCUGGACUCUGAAUCCAGUGAUCCGAAUUCAAAUCUCAGUGGGACCU